RNAcentral lists this non-coding RNA (171 nucleotides) under Aurantiochytrium limacinum. Lineage: Eukaryota; Bigyra; Thraustochytrida; Thraustochytriidae. The record is from RNAcentral.
CUGCAAGAAAGAAAGAAAGCAGAGAAAGAAAGGAAAGACUUUCCCACAACUGAAGAAUAAAUUUCUAUUUGUGAUUCUUUUCUUUCUUUUUUUUUUUAAUAUAAAUGUUUUUUUUAAAGAUAUGUAUAAAAGAAAAGAAAAGAAAACGAGAGGAGAGGAGAGGAGAGGAAA